UGGGGAAUUUUACACAAUGGGGGAAACCCUGAUGUAGCAACGCCGCGUGGAGGAUGACGGAUCUAGGUCUGUAAACUCCUUUUAUAAGGGAAGAAAUUUGACGGUACCUUAUGAAUAAGCACCGGCUAACUCCGUGCCAGCAGCCGCGGUAAUACGGGGGGUGCAAGCGUUACUCGGAAUCACUGGGCGUAAAGGGAGCGUAGGCGUUUUAUUAAGUCUUGAGUGAAAGCUCGCAGCUCAACUGCGGAACUGCUCAGGAAACUGAUAGAAUUGAGUAUGGAAGAGGUAGGUGGAAUUUCCGGUGUAGGGGUAAAAUCCGUAGAUAUCGGAAGGAAUAGCCGAAGCGAAGGCGACCUACUGGGACAUUACUGACGCUGAGGCUCGAAAGCGUGGGGA
Molecule: ribosomal RNA, 396 nt
Filed under: uncultured bacterium
Lineage: Bacteria
Description: bacterial SSU rRNA
Rfam family: Bacterial small subunit ribosomal RNA
Source: RNAcentral